GGUUUUGUGCAGUGACAUUGUCGUACCCAAUGAGGUUUAUCCAAGGUGCAAGUAUUGCUAAUUGAAAAAAAUAAUAUCCUUUACCAAAGGUACACAUUUUUUAAUGUAAUUUUAUUG
RNAcentral lists this small nuclear RNA (117 nucleotides) under Dipodomys ordii (Ord's kangaroo rat). Its description in RNAcentral is "U4 spliceosomal RNA". It matches the Rfam family "U4 spliceosomal RNA". From Rfam's summary of the family: U4 small nuclear RNA (U4 snRNA) is a component of the major U2-dependent spliceosome. The structure of U4 snRNA from yeast and human has been reported. Lineage: Eukaryota; Metazoa; Chordata; Mammalia; Rodentia; Heteromyidae. The record is from Rfam by way of RNAcentral.